RNAcentral lists this small nuclear RNA (106 nucleotides) under Spermophilus dauricus (Daurian ground squirrel). Lineage: Eukaryota; Metazoa; Chordata; Mammalia; Rodentia; Sciuridae. The record is from RNAcentral.
GUGGUAGCUUUGGCAGCACCUAUACUAAAAUUGGAACAAUACAGAGAAGAUUAACAGGGCCCUGCACAAGGAUGACAUGCAAAUUCGUGAAGCACUUCAUAUUUUU